Molecule: ribosomal RNA, 506 nt
Filed under: uncultured bacterium
Lineage: Bacteria
Description: bacterial SSU rRNA
Rfam family: Bacterial small subunit ribosomal RNA
Source: RNAcentral
CAGGAUGAACGCUAGCUACAGGCUUAACACAUGCAAGUCGAGGGGGCAGCAUACAGGUAGCUUGCUAUCUGUGAUGGCGACCGGCGCACGGGUGAGUAACGCGUAUCCAACCUGGCCCAUAGUAGGGAACAGCCCGGCGAAAGUCGGAUUAAUGCCCUAUGUUGUUUGAAGCGGACAUCUAAUUCAAACCAAAGAUUGAUCGCUAUGGGAUGGGGAUGCGUCUGAUUAGGUUGUUGGCGGGGUAACGGCCCACCAAGCCAUCGAUCAGUAGGGGUUCUGAGAGGAGGGUCCCCCACACUGGUACUGAGACACGGACCAGACUCCUACGGGAGGCAGCAGUGAGGAAUAUUGGUCAAUGGGCGCGAGCCUGAACCAGCCAAGUAGCGUGCAGGAAGACGGCCCUACGGGUUGUAAACUGUCUUUUAUGCGGGGAUAAAGUGUGGGACGCGUCCCUCAUUGCAGGUACCGCAUGAAUAAGGACCGGCUAAUUCCGUGCCAGCCGCGGC